UACGUAGGGUGCGAGCGUUGCCCGGAUUUACUGGGCGUAAAGGGCGCGUAGGCGGCUUGACAAGUCACUUGUGAAAUCUCCGGGCUUAACUCGGAACGGCCAAGUGAAACUGUCAUGCUAGAGUGCAGAAGGGGCAAUCGGAAUUCUUGGUGUAGCGGUGAAAUGCGUAGAUAUCAAGAGGAACACCUGAGGUGAAGACGGGUUGCUGGGCUGAUACUGACGCUGAGGCGCGAAAGCCAGGGGAGCAAACGGG
Molecule: ribosomal RNA, 253 nt
Filed under: uncultured bacterium
Lineage: Bacteria
Description: partial 16S ribosomal RNA
Rfam family: Bacterial small subunit ribosomal RNA
Source: RNAcentral